CUUCCUCCGGUAAAUUUCGAUGCACUCCCUUUCGGCAUCUGCGAGCAUGCGGUCUUUGUCUGCUUUACUUUCCCCAAUUUCCUCCCAAAUUUGCUGUGAUUCAAAAAAAGGGAAAAUAUGAGCCUUUCCUGAGAUCAAUAGAUUAUCAUCAGAGAAAUUAAAGAUGGAAGAAAUAAAACCUGAAGCUCUUCCAGCAAAGCACCACAGCUCCUGACCAUUCCAUCUGAGAUUCCCACCAUCACCUCUCCCUCCUCCAAGCCAACCCAAAAAGGAAGAAGAAAGGAAGGCAGAGAAGAUGAGGAAGCACAAAAGUUCUAGAAUUUAGAAGCUCCCAAGAGG
Molecule: long non-coding RNA, 339 nt
Organism: Zingiber officinale
Lineage: Eukaryota; Viridiplantae; Streptophyta; Magnoliopsida; Zingiberales; Zingiberaceae
Exons: 2
Source: RefSeq, a predicted model, not a curated record